GACGAACGCUGGCGGCGUGCUUAACACAUGCAAGUCGAACGGAAAGACCCUGCUUUUGUGGGGUGCUCGAGUGGCGAACGGGUGAGUAACACGUGAGUCACCUGCCCUUGACUUUGGGAUAACUUCAGGAAACUGGGGCUAAUACCGGAUAGGAGCUCCUGCUGCAUGGUGGGGGUUGGAAAGUUUCGGCGGCUGGGGAUGGACUCGCGGCUUAUCAGCUUGUUGGUGGGGUAGUGGCUUACCAAGGCUUUGACGGGUAGCCGGCCUGAGAGGGUGACCGGCCACAUUGGGACUGAGAUACGGCCCAGACUCCUACGGGAGGCAGCAGUGGGGAUUAUUGCACAAUGGGCGGAAGCCUGAUGCAGCAACGCCGCGUGCGGGAUGACGGCCUUCGGGUUGUAAACCGCUUUCGCCUGUGACGAAGCGUGAGUGACGGUAAUGGGUAAAGAAGAACCGGCUAACUACGUG
RNAcentral lists this ribosomal RNA (468 nucleotides) under uncultured bacterium. RNAcentral describes it as "partial 16S ribosomal RNA". It matches the Rfam family "Bacterial small subunit ribosomal RNA", at positions 28 to 507 of the family's 1533-position model. The record is from RNAcentral.